Molecule: ribosomal RNA, 1480 nt
Filed under: uncultured Bordetella sp.
Lineage: Bacteria; Pseudomonadati; Pseudomonadota; Betaproteobacteria; Burkholderiales; Alcaligenaceae
Description: partial 16S-23S ribosomal RNA intergenic spacer
Rfam family: Bacterial small subunit ribosomal RNA
Source: RNAcentral
GGUUCGAUUAUGGCCUGGGGAUUGAACGCUGGCGGGAUGCUUUACACAUGCAAGUCGAACGGCAGCACGACUUGGUCUGGUGGCGAGUGGCGAACGGGUGAGUAAUGUAUCGGAACGUGCCUAGUAGCGGGGGAUAACUACGCGAAAGCGUAGCUAAUACCGCAUACGCCCUUCGGGGGAAAGCGGGGGACCUUCGGGCCUCGCACUAUUAGAGCGGCCGAUAUCGGAUUAGCUAGUUAUGGGGUAACGGCUCACCAAGGCGACGAUCCGUAGCUGGUUUAUGAGGACGACCAGCCACACUGGGACUGAGACACGGCCCAGACUCCUACGGGAGGCAGCAGUGGGGAAUUUGGACAAUGGGGAACCCGAUCCAGCCAUCCCGCGUGUGCGAUGAAGGCCUUUCGGGUUGUAAAGCACUUUUGGCAGGGAAAGAAAUGGCACGGGAUAAUACCCCGUGCAACUGACGGUACCUGCAGAAUAAGCACCGGCUAACCACGUGCCAGCAGCCGCGGUAAUACGUGGGUGCAAGCGUUAAUCGGAAUUACUGGGCGUGAAGCGUGCGCAGGCGGUUCGGAAAGAAAGAUGUGAAAUCCCAGAGCUUAACUUUGGAACUGCAUUUUUAACUACCGAGCUAGAGUGUGUCAGAGGGGAGGUGGAAAUCUCGCGUGUAGCAGUGAAAUGCGUAGAUAUGCGGAGGAACACCGAUGGCGAAGGCAGCCUCCUGGGAUAACACUGACGCUCAUGCACGAAAGCGUGGGGAGCAAACAGGAUUAGAUACCCUGGUAGUCCACGCCCUAAACGAUGUCAACUAGCUGUUGGGGCCUUCGGGCCUUGUAGCGCAGCUAACGCGUGAAGUUGACCGCCUGGGGAGUACGGUCGCAAGAUUAAAACUCAAAGGAAUGGACGGGACCUCCGCACAAAGCGGUGGAUGAUGUGGAUUAAUUCGAUGCAACGCGAAAAACCUUACCUACCCUUGACAUGUUCGGAAUCCCGAAGAGAUUUGGGGAGUGCCCGCAAGAGAACCGGAACACAGGUGCUGCAUGGCUGUCGUCAGCUCGUGUCGAGAUGUUGGGUUAAGUCCCGCAACGAGCGCAACCCUUGUCAUUAGUUGCUACGAAAGGGCACUCUAAUGAGACUGCCGGUGACAAACCGGAGGAAGGUGGGGAUGACGUCAAGUCCUCAUGGCCCUUAUGGGUAGGGCUUCACACGUCAUACAAUGGUCGGGACAGAGGGCUAACCCGCGAGGGGAGCCAUCCCAGAAACCCGAUCGUAGUCCGGAUCGCAGUCUGCAAACUCGACUGCGUGAAGUCGGAAUCGCUAGUAAUCGCGGAUCAGCAUGUCGCGGUGAAUACGUUCCCGGGUCUUGUACACUGCCCGUCACACCAUGGGAGUGGGUUUUACCAGAAGUAGUUAGCCUAACCGUAAGGAGGGCGAUUACCACGGUAGGAUUCAUGACUGGGGUGAAGUCGUAACAAGGUAA